Molecule: ribosomal RNA, 253 nt
Filed under: uncultured bacterium
Lineage: Bacteria
Description: partial 16S ribosomal RNA
Rfam family: Bacterial small subunit ribosomal RNA
Source: RNAcentral
UACGUAGGGUGCGAGCGUUGUCCGGAAUUAUUGGGCGUAAAGAGCUCGUAGGCGGCUUGUCACGUCGGGUGUGAAAGCCCGGGGCUUAACCCCGGGUCUGCAUUCGAUACGGGCUGGCUAGAGUGUGGUAGGGGAGAUCGGAAUUCCUGGUGUAGCGGUGAAAUGCGCAGAUAUCAGGAGGAACACCGGUGGCGAAGGCGGAUCUCUGGGCCAUUACUGACGCUGAGGAGCGAAAGCGUGGGGAGCGAACAGG